ACAUCAAGAAAAACACUUGAUUACAUUUGUGAUCAUAAUCUUCAUUCCUAAAAGAAGAAAUCAAAGUCUUCUUCAUCCAUAUUCAAUAUUCCCUUUGUGUUCUUCGAGUUUUAGAGAAUUCAUACAAGUGCUUAAGUAUUGAUUCUCUACAAGGCUUGAUUACUCCUACAAAUCGUUUGCCGUGAGACCCUUUAAGCAUUAAAAUUAUAUCCGAGAGGGAGCAAAUAUCGUUUGAGAACAGCGAUAUAAUGUUGUGUUUAAACCUUCAUAUUUAUUAUGAUUUUCUUCUUAUUUUCAUCUUCUUGAUUAUUUUUAUAUAUUGUUUCUUUUCCAUUUUCCUUGAUUGAUGCAAAUUUUUGAACAUUUUUUUGCAACAUUUUAUUCAUAUGGUGCCAUCCAUAUGAGCAUUCUAAAGGGGUUCUCCUCUGUACACACAGACUAAUUCCCUCUCUAUCUUUCUUAUUAUCCGUUAGAUUUUUUUUGAAAGAGACUUCUGAAAUGCAGUGUGGUAUCCAAAGCCUUCCAAACUAACCUUAAUUUUCUCUUUUUAAAGAGACGAAGUGACGUCUAGAACGUGUUUUCUUCAUCCUGCUGCGAUUUACAGCAGCUUUCUUCAAACGAGUCCUAUAGUAGAAGAUAUGUUCCAUUGGCAAGCAAUGAUUAUGAGACCUUCUGAUAGUCCUUAUUCUGGAGGUAUGAAAUAUAUAUGACCCAGUACCGAGCAAUAUUUUGUAGUCAAUUGCAAGAUUAUGAGUGAGAAAGUGUCAGAACCAAGCAAUAAACGAAAGUGGAACAAAAAAAGGUUCAAAAUAAAGCAGGUACUGGUGCUGCUGAAACAUUUAAGUGCUGUGCAGUUUGUUCAACAGAUGUGGGAGUAAUAGACAAGGAAGAAGUUUAUCAUUUCUUGAAUGUUUUUCCAAAUGUGGCUAAACACAGAUCGGCUGAUAUUUAAACUGUUUUAGCUUCAUACCAAGGUCAUGAUAUUCCCAAAGAGUUCAUCAAACAAUCUAAAGAGCAUCAAAAGUCAGUUAUCCUCUUCAUCGUAUAUCUCAUUGUCGAUUUUCUAUUGGAAAAAUCCCGAGCACAGGAUAGGUAAUUGAGAGAUAAAGCUAGCCUAUACAUUAGAGGAAAUCUAUUAUUACAUGGUGCCACCAUAAAGCGAUAGCAAUCAAAUUCUUAAGCAUGCAACAUGAUGCUAGCCUGAAUAAAUCUGGGAUGGUUGGGCUAUUGUUGAAGCAUACUGUUGGCAACUUUGAUCCCCUAUAUGUUGUAAAUAUGUUGCCAAAUGACUUGGAGAUUCCUCGAUAAGUAUGUUCUCUACUUUUUUUUUUAUCGUUCUAGUGGUUAGUUUGCAUAACUUCUUUUUCUACAAUUACAAGAACAUUUUUCAUGUUGAAUGCGAUGUGGAUGAAAAACUUUUUGGGUUUUC
Olea europaea var. sylvestris is the source of this 1429-nucleotide long non-coding RNA. RefSeq lists it as uncharacterized. The transcript has 7 exons. The record is from RefSeq and is a predicted model, not a curated record. NCBI's taxonomy places the organism in Eukaryota, Viridiplantae, Streptophyta, Magnoliopsida, Lamiales, Oleaceae.